AUUCUGUAAACUCGAAAUCAUCAGUUAAAGAUAAAACAAAAGUUUUCUUCCAAGCUGAGGUAUUUCUGAAUUAAAAACAAAAAAGCAUUUAAAAAAAAAAUUAUCCAGUUCCAAGAAAAAGAAUGUGAAUACACAAAGGGAAAGGAGCAUAAAGUUGAAACAGGCUUUGUUGCGGGUCACGAUAAAAAAUGCAAUUUUCUGUUUAAACAAAAAAUAAAAACUUACUCCCGCGAUAUUGAGUUUCUAUAUUGGGAUGAAAUGAAGUUGAUUAUAAAAACUUAGCCAAUUCCGAGUAAAUCGUUUAAGAGUGAGGAUCUGCAACGAGAUACCAACUCAAAAAUGAAUCAGCUCAUUAAUCGUGUAGAACAUAUCCAGGUUAAAUAAAUUAGACUCAAGCUGGAAUAUGGUAGGGUAAAGGCUAAAGAAAACCCAAGAUAGAUGCAAAGUCAGGAUCUUACUUCGCCUGGACGCUAGAAUUAAAAAAAUUUUAAAAAUUAUCUAAGGUUGUUGUGAGUGACGAUGUUAAUGAUUUAGACUUUAUUCAUUCUACUUAAAUUACGGACGAAGAGAAGGAAAAAACCCA
Molecule: long non-coding RNA, 583 nt
Organism: Belonocnema kinseyi
Lineage: Eukaryota; Metazoa; Arthropoda; Insecta; Hymenoptera; Cynipidae
Exons: 2
Source: RefSeq, a predicted model, not a curated record